Molecule: long non-coding RNA, 1701 nt
Filed under: Ananas comosus (pineapple)
Lineage: Eukaryota; Viridiplantae; Streptophyta; Magnoliopsida; Poales; Bromeliaceae
Description: long non-coding RNA (ACOM_LNC022107)
Source: RNAcentral
AUAUAUAGAUCUUGAGCCGUACGUAGAGGAGGAGCUCGGGUGGUGUGGAGUUUCGUCGACGUCGCGCCGCGGUGCCGUUCGAGCGUGUGUUCGUCGUCGUAGCAUCGCGAGGGGGGCCGGGCGAGGGUCCGAUUCCGCCGUUUUUGUUGUCGCGCCGGAUUGUGAUUAGCGUUUGAGGUGGGUUACAUCGGCUUUACUCCUAAGUUCGUAUUGGUCGACAUGUAUAGAUUUUGAUUUCGGUAAUUAAUGUUAGCUCAAAUUCAUGGAUUAAUUGUAGAUUGUGAAAUCUGAAUUUUGGAGCAUGUUUUAUAAAUUAGGUAGAUUAUACAUGUUGGACUUGAAAAUUGAAUUAGGAGAAAACCUGCGAUUUUGGCCUGUCACCUGUAUAAACUGCUUGAUUUAGCUCUAGGAGCCGUUAGAAAAUUGUACUGUCGCAGUUUCUUCGAGACGAGUACUCCAGGUAGUUUAGAAUGUAUUUACACUCGUGCUGGUUCGCCGAGUGGAUUUUUACAGGGUCGUUCAGGUUGUUCGGACUGUUGGGUGCCGUCAGAGUUGACGGUGGACCCGUAUCGCCUUGUUGGCGUCAGACUGUGCCGAGGGCACGUUACCUGUUAGUUGUUAGAUCAGUUUGAGUUGAUUACUUGACUUUGGCUAGUUGGAGCCUGAUUGAGCUCGACAGAGAUACGCUGCAUACUCGGUUGGGUAGCGCCCACGAGUGCCACUCCGGAGUCAGGCUUUGUGCUUUCGCGUUGGUGUCGCUCAUGCCAGUUGGACUUGCUCUCCAUGGACCAGUUAGUGUGGAUAGAGCCUGAUAGUCGCAACGGGGCAGGGACGGGUGUAUUCACAGUUCCGGGGACGGGUAUGCUUACAGUCCCGAUUGGAUUGGGUCAGAGUUGACAUUUCCUACAGUUGGUUAGUGUAGAGCAUGAUAGUGUAGUGAUCGAUAGCGGUAGAGUUUAUUUUCUGCUUUUCUGACUACUCUUGCUCCCUUCUGUAGACUUAGUGGGUGGACCGAUGUUGUUUUGGGCGGUAUCCACUGAGGACUACUUGUUUUUAUAGUAGUUCUCACGCCCAGUUGUUACCCCUGUUUUGCAGAGCCACAGGUUUCGGCUGCUGCGCCUUUCGCGGAUCAGGAUCGAGGCAAGGGCGUCGCGAGUUAGAGCCCUACCCGACUGACAGAGCUAGAGGCACCCUACUGCAGGUAGUUGUUUUACUUCGAGCUUAUGUACAUAGUACUUAACUCGCCAGUGCGAGUAACGCUGUAUUUUGGAUUUGGACUAUGUAUAUGAACUCAGUUUGUUUAGCUUCUGUUUUCUCUAGCAGCUCUCUACUACUGUUCGUAGUAGUGUUUGAUUUACAGGUACAGCUGUCGCUUCGUAUACAGGAAAAAUUUCUUUGUAUACGGCGGAUUUGUCGGCGUGCCCGGGGAAGGAGACAUCCGGGGCGUGACACCGGUUAUUAUUACUAGCGUGUACGCCUCAUAUAAACUGAUCGGAAUCAGUAUCCCAUCCGAUGUAGGAUUAUUGGGGCGUUACAAGUUCCUUCAGCUCUACUGCUUAUUCGGUAGAAAGUGAAUGGCAUAAAAACUAAUUUAUACAUAAAUAAUAAAUAACUUAAUAAAUAAUAAAUUAUAAUAUAAUAAAUAAAUAAUAUAAUAUAAUUAUAUUUCUAUAUAAUUAAAAAAAUGUAAUAUGAAAAUUU